AAAAAACCAACCAAAAAAGAGCACAAGCAAUCUCUCUCUCCUCUUUCUCUCUCUAGCAGCUGCUCCGCCGGAGUUCGUGAAGCCCUAGCUCUCUCGCUUUAUGCCGCUUCGGAUCCGACCCUCCCCCUCCCGCUCCCGCUCCGAUCCGUAGCUGCUGCAGCUGCUGCUUCUCCUCCUCCUCCUCCUUCGUCGUCGUCGGCCAUGGAACGCGUCGUCGGCGGCAAGUACAAGCUCGGCCGCAAGAUCGGCAGCGGAUCCUUUGGCGAAAUUUUCCUCGCGUCGCACAUCGACACGCUGGAGAUCGUCGCCGUGAAAAUCGAGAACAACAAGACAAAACAUCCGCAGCUGCUAUAUGAGGCCAAAUUGUACAACAUUCUUCAAGGAGGGAGCGGUAUUCCCAGCUUUAAGUGGGCUGGCGUGGAUGGAGAAGAUAACGUGCUCGUUCUCGAUUUGCUCGGGCCCAGUCUCGAGGACUUGUUCGUGUAUUGUGGGAGGAAGUUUUCGUUAAAGACGGUCAUCAUGUUGGCUGAUCAAAUGCUAACCAGAAUUGAAUAUGUGCACUCAAAGGGAUUUCUUCACAGAGAUAUCAAACCUGAUAACUUUCUCAUGGGUCUUGGUCGGAAAGCAAAUCAGGUUUAUGUAAUUGAUUUUGGGCUUGCAAAAAGAUAUCGAGAUGCUACAACCAACCGGCAUAUCCCAUAUAGGGAGAACAAAAAUUUAACUGGCACUGCAAGGUAUGCGAGUUGUAAUACUCAUCUUGGCAUCGAACAAAGCCGUCGAGAUGAUCUGGAGUCACUUGGAUAUGUACUGCUAUAUUUUCUUCGAGGAAGCCUCCCGUGGCAGGGAUUGAAGGCAGCCACAAAGAAGCAAAAAUAUGACAAAAUAUGUGAGAAGAAGUUAUCAACUCCUAUUGAGGUUUUGUGCAAAUCUCAUCCGGUGGAAUUCGCAUCAUAUUUCCAUUAUUGUCACUCAUUGACAUUUGAUCAACGGCCAGAUUAUGGAUUUUUAAAGCGCCUUUUCCGUGACUUGUUUUCUCGUGAAGGAUAUGAAUUGGACUAUGUCUUUGACUGGACCAUCCUUAAGUACCAGCAAGCCCAAAAGAGCAAAACUCAGCCUCGGAUGUCUCCAGUUGCUGGGGGAAGCAGCAAUCCUGUGGUGCCAAUGAAAAUGGAAAAUAAUCAAGGAAAUACUAGCGCUGCCUAUUCGGUUGAGGCCAAAGAGCGUCUUAGAUUGGGUGGUGCUGCUGGUCCUGCUGUGCAGAUGCAAUUUAAGUCGCCAAAGGGCAAAAACCCGAGAGAUGAACAACCUGCUAACAAGCAUGCCAUUGGUGAAGCUAGCAUGCCAUCGACUUCCUUUGCUCUGGGUGGUAUCACCAAAAGGAAUACUCUGAAAAACCAAUUUUUAGCUGAAGCUGCAAACUCUGGCAAUGACAAUGGUAAUAGAGUUGGUCAGUCGAGCAGCUGGAUUUCAUCACUCCAGCGUAAUUCAUCUGCCAAAUAAAACUGUGAUGAGUAAUUGGUUGAGGACAUUCUUCUUGCAUUGCUGGAGGCUUGGAAUGUGCAGGGAUGUGCUCUGGCCAAUGUCUUUCAUGCAUUUCUAGGGAUACUUCCAUGGGGAGACGAUCUUCUACUUUGACCGUGAAUCUGGCUGGCAGGUUUUUGAUAAUCUACUAGCGAAAGCUGGCAAGCUCCAAAUGGUUUUUGAAUCCAGUGAAUUGGGACCCGAUGAAUUGCAUUAGUUCUUCUAUAGGCACCAGCUGGCAUUUUUCCUCUGAAGGUGACUACAACCUAUUGGUGACUAUGAGAUGUAGACCAUGAUAAAGUCUGUUUGUUGUACAGAGACGUCACAAAUUAUAGCAACCUUGUAUUUAUGGGAUUAUGUAGUGCUGAAUUCAGACAGAGGGUGUCUGGACUCUGGAACUUCCCAGGAGCGUCUUUUACCUCUGGUGCUUACUUGUUUCCACCGCUUGUGAGAAGUAUUUGCAGCCAGAGGGAUCUUUGAACGAAGAACGGCAUGCACUCUCACUUGCACAUGAGGCAAACAUUAACUUGUGGAUUUCACAAAUGGACUUUUUUCUCUGCAUGCUUGUACAAGGCAUGCACGAUCUUUUUGAGGAUACUCCAUCUCCACAUAUUGUUUAUGUUUGGACAAAUUCUGAUCCUGGACAUGCGGUCACAGUUCAGGUUCCUGAAACUUUUCAUAGAUGUUCUGUCUAUACACGGGGACAUCUUUCUUCAAGAGCUCCUUAGGCUUGGAGAUCAGGACGGUAAAAGGUGGAGUUAGGGGGUGCAGGUUUGCAGUAACUCCUGAUUUCUCUUCUUACUGGUUCGUCAUACUUUUGAAAGCUGAUAUGUACUGUAGUGGACCCUGGGUUGUAUAGCUUUCUGUCUGCGGGAUUUGAACCUUCAUCUGGGAGUGAGUCCUUACAAAUCUUUUAUUGGAUAUUAGUGGUUGGUUCUCUUCCUCAAGAACUUACAGGAUCAGAUUCGUAGCUUGGAGUUAUUUGUCAUGUAAUAUGAAAAACUACAGGAGUAAGCAUGCCUAACUUCUGUUUCGGGCCAAGGGAUGAGCCUAUGUUGGAAGAUCAUCGACCAAAUGUGGUAUAAUGAUUUUUUUCCCCUUUCUUUCUGUUGGAGGUGGUAUAACAAGUUUGAGUAAUGAAUUUGGGUCUACAAAAUAACUACACUUAUUGGACUUAGCAUAUUCUUAUUACUUGUCGAAUCACUUGUUUUUGCGAGACAAUAUGACUUGUUUAAAUGCACUCGGCAAUGGACGCAUCA
RNA transcript from Eucalyptus grandis, 2780 nucleotides. It is a transcript of the gene named casein kinase 1-like protein 3, with no coding region annotated. The record is from RefSeq and is a predicted model, not a curated record. Lineage: Eukaryota; Viridiplantae; Streptophyta; Magnoliopsida; Myrtales; Myrtaceae. The transcript has 17 exons.